Molecule: ribosomal RNA, 426 nt
Filed under: uncultured Bacillota bacterium
Lineage: Bacteria; Bacillati; Bacillota
Description: bacterial SSU rRNA
Rfam family: Bacterial small subunit ribosomal RNA
Source: RNAcentral
AGGGAAUCUUCCACAAUGGACGGAAGUCUGAUGGAGCAACGCCGCGUGAGUGAUGAAGGUUUUCGGAUCGUAAAACUCUGUUGUAAGGGAAGAACCAGUACGUCAGGCAAUGGACGUACCUUGACGGUACCUUGUUAGAAAGCAACGGCUAACUACGUGCCAGCAGCCGCGGUAAUACGUAGGUGGCAAGCGUUGUCCGGAAUUAUUGGGCGUAAAGCGCGCGCAGGUGGUUUCUUAAGUUGGAUGUGAAAUACCCGGGCUUAACCUGGGGGGUGCAUUCAAAACUGGAUGGCUAGAGUGCAGGAGAGGGAAGCGGAAUUCCUAGUGUAGCGGUGAAAUGCGUAGAUAUUAGGAGGAACACCAGUGGCGAAGGCGGCUUUCUGGACUGUAACUGACACUGAGGCACGAAAGCGUGGGGAGCAAACA